CCUACGGGAGGCAGCAGUGGGGAAUAUUGGGCAAUGGGCGCAAGCCUGACCCAGCAACGCCGCGUGAAGGAAGAAGGCUUUCGGGUUGUAAACUUCUUUUCUCAGGGACGAAGCAAGUGACGGUACCUGAGGAAUAAGCCACGGCUAACUACGUGCCAGCAGCCGCGGUAAUACGUAGGUGGCAAGCGUUAUCCGGAUUUACUGGGUGUAAAGGGCGUGUAGGCGGGAAAGUAAGUCAGAUGUGAAAACCAUGGGCUCAACCUGUGGCCUGCAUUUGAAACUGUUUUUCUUGAGUACUGGGGAGGCAGACGGAAUUCCUAGUGUAGCGGUGAAAUGCGUAGAUAUUAGGAGGAACACCAGUGGCGAAGGCGGUCUGCUGGACAGCAACUGACGCUGAGGCGCGAAAGCGUGGGGAGCAAACAGGAUUAGAUACCCCAGUAGUC
Molecule: ribosomal RNA, 443 nt
Filed under: uncultured bacterium
Lineage: Bacteria
Description: partial 16S ribosomal RNA
Rfam family: Bacterial small subunit ribosomal RNA
Source: RNAcentral